UACGUAGGGUGCAAGCGUUAAUCGGAAUUACUGGGCGUAAAGCGUGCGCAGGCGGUUUUGUAAGUCUGUCGUGAAAGCCCCGGGCUCAACCUGGGAAUUGCGAUGGAGACUGCAAGGCUUGAAUCUGGCAGAGGGGGGUAGAAUUCCACGUGUAGCAGUGAAAUGCGUAGAGAUGUGGAGGAACACCGAUGGCGAAGGCAGCCCCCUGGGUCAAGAUUGACGCUCAUGCAGGAAAGCGUGGGGAGCAAACAGG
RNAcentral lists this ribosomal RNA (253 nucleotides) under uncultured bacterium. RNAcentral's name for it is "partial 16S ribosomal RNA". It matches the Rfam family "Bacterial small subunit ribosomal RNA", at positions 524 to 776 of the family's 1533-position model. The record is from RNAcentral.